This 1339-nucleotide ribosomal RNA is filed under the name Enterococcus durans. Its description in RNAcentral is "bacterial SSU rRNA". It matches the Rfam family "Bacterial small subunit ribosomal RNA", at positions 75 to 1394 of the family's 1533-position model. Lineage: Bacteria; Bacillati; Bacillota; Bacilli; Lactobacillales; Enterococcaceae. The record is from RNAcentral.
GGAGCUUGCUCCACCGGAAAAAGAAGAGUGGCGAACGGGUGAGUAACACGUGGGUAACCUGCCCAUCAGAAGGGGAUAACACUUGGAAACAGGUGCUAAUACCGUAUAACAAUCGAAACCGCAUGGUUUUGAUUUGAAAGGCGCUUUCGGGUGUCGCUGAUGGAUGGACCCGCGGUGCAUUAGCUAGUUGGUGAGGUAACGGCUCACCAAGGCCACGAUGCAUAGCCGACCUGAGAGGGUGAUCGGCCACAUUGGGACUGAGACACGGCCCAAACUCCUACGGGAGGCAGCAGUAGGGAAUCUUCGGCAAUGGACGAAAGUCUGACCGAGCAACGCCGCGUGAGUGAAGAAGGUUUUCGGAUCGUAAAACUCUGUUGUUAGAGAAGAACAAGGAUGAGAGUAACUGUUCAUCCCUUGACGGUAUCUAACCAGAAAGCCACGGCUAACUACGUGCCAGCAGCCGCGGUAAUACGUAGGUGGCAAGCGUUGUCCGGAUUUAUUGGGCGUAAAGCGAGCGCAGGCGGUUUCUUAAGUCUGAUGUGAAAGCCCCCGGCUCAACCGGGGAGGGUCAUUGGAAACUGGGAGACUUGAGUGCAGAAGAGGAGAGUGGAAUUCCAUGUGUAGCGGUGAAAUGCGUAGAUAUAUGGAGGAACACCAGUGGCGAAGGCGGCUCUCUGGUCUGUAACUGACGCUGAGGCUCGAAAGCGUGGGGAGCAAACAGGAUUAGAUACCCUGGUAGUCCACGCCGUAAACGAUGAGUGCUAAGUGUUGGAGGGUUUCCGCCCUUCAGUGCUGCAGCUAACGCAUUAAGCACUCCGCCUGGGGAGUACGACCGCAAGGUUGAAACUCAAAGGAAUUGACGGGGGCCCGCACAAGCGGUGGAGCAUGUGGUUUAAUUCGAAGCAACGCGAAGAACCUUACCAGGUCUUGACAUCCUUUGACCACUCUAGAGAUAGAGCUUCCCCUUCGGGGGCAAAGUGACAGGUGGUGCAUGGUUGUCGUCAGCUCGUGUCGUGAGAUGUUGGGUUAAGUCCCGCAACGAGCGCAACCCUUAUUGUUAGUUGCCAUCAUUCAGUUGGGCACUCUAGCAAGACUGCCGGUGACAAACCGGAGGAAGGUGGGGAUGACGUCAAAUCAUCAUGCCCCUUAUGACCUGGGCUACACACGUGCUACAAUGGGAAGUACAACGAGUCGCGAAGUCGCGAGGCUAAGCUAAUCUCUUAAAGCUUCUCUCAGUUCGGAUUGUAGGCUGCAACUCGCCUACAUGAAGCCGGAAUCGCUAGUAAUCGCGGAUCAGCACGCCGCGGUGAAUACGUUCCCGGGCCUUGUACACACCGCC